This 225-nucleotide ribosomal RNA is filed under the name uncultured bacterium. Its description in RNAcentral is "partial 16S ribosomal RNA". It matches the Rfam family "Bacterial small subunit ribosomal RNA", at positions 587 to 811 of the family's 1533-position model. The record is from RNAcentral.
GUCUGAUGUGAAAGCCCUGGGCUCAACCCAGGAAGUGCAUUGGGAACUGUCAGACUUGAAUACGGGAGAGGGUAGUGGAAUUCCUAGUGUAGGAGUGAAAUCCGUAGAUAUUAGGAGGAACACCGGUGGCGAAGGCGGCUACCUGGACCGAUAUUGACGCUGAGACGCGAAAGCGUGGGUAGCAAACAGGAUUAGAUACCCUGGUAGUCCACGCCGUAAACGAUG